Molecule: long non-coding RNA, 1119 nt
Organism: Salarias fasciatus (jewelled blenny)
Lineage: Eukaryota; Metazoa; Chordata; Actinopteri; Blenniiformes; Blenniidae
Source: Ensembl
CUCAAAGCCACCACCAUCAUCCCGGUUCCUAAGAAGCCGUCUCCAUCCCACUACAAUGACUAUCGCCCGGUCGCACUCACCCCCAUCCUUAUGAAGUGCUUUGAGCGGCUAGUCAUGCAGCACAUCAAGUCUGCCCUCCCAUCCACUCUGGAUCCCUACCAGUUUGCUUAUCGGUCCAACCGCUCGACCGAUGACGCCAUCGCCACUGCUCUCCACUCAGCCCUGACCCACCUGGAGACCGAGAACUCAUACGUCAGAAUGCUGUUCAUCGACUUCAGCUCAGCAUUCAACACAAUCCUCCCCCAGCAGCUCAUCUACAAACUGGACCGGCUGGGACUCAACACCACCUUGUGCAACUGGCUGCUGGACUUUCUGACAGGGAGACCACAGGCAGUUCGGGUUGGCAGCAACACCUCCGGCACCAUCAUUUUGAACACGGGGGCCCCCCAGGGAUGUGUGCUGAGCCCCCUCCUCUUCACUCUGCUGACCCAUGACUGCACACCCUCAUCCAGCUCAAACCUCUUCAUCAAGUUUGCUGAUGACACGACCGUGGUGGGUCUCAUCAACAAUGACGAUGAGACAACCUACCGGAGUGAGGUGAGCCGCCUGGCCACGUGGUGUCAGGACAACAAUCUCCACCUGAACGUGGAGAAGACGAAGGAGAUUGUUGUGGACUUCAGGAGAGAGCAUUCCCAGCAUGCUCCACUGACCAUCAACGGUGCUGCUGUGGAGAGAGUGAGCAGCACCAAGUUUCUGGGUGUGCACAUCUCUGAGGAUCUUUCCUGGAACACCAACACCACAUCACUGGCUAAAACAGCUCAACGGCGGCUCUACUUCCUCCGUAGACUGAGAAGAGCGAGAGCCCCGACCCCCAUGAUGACCACCUUUUACAGAGGCACUGUAGAGAGCAUCCUGACCAGCUGCAUCACGGUGUGGUACGGCGCCUGCACCGUGUCCUGCUGCAAGACCCUGCAGCGCAUUGUGAGAGCAGCCGAGAAGAUCAUUGGUGUCUCUCUCCCCUCCCUCUCCUCUAUUUACAACACCCGCCUCACCCGCACAGCCACCAGGAUCGCAGGUGACCCCACUCACCCUGCCCACAGCCUCUUCAGCCUGCUGCCG